ACAGCUGCCGAUGCAAUUCUGAGAGGGCUUCUAGAUGCAAUUCUGGGAGGGCGUCUCUGCCUUCGGGCCUGCCUGAGCAGGGCUGGCAGUGCUACACAGAAGCUACUCAACAGAUGCUCACCCACACAGAAGGCAGCCAUGGACUCCAGCCGCCAAGGACUCCAGCUCCACUGCUGACUCGCUGUGCAGCCCCGGCAAGUCUUACCCUCUCUGGGCCUCAGUGUUUUCAGAAGCCCGCUGAGGCCCUGAACCUCCCCACCAAGUACUGGCUCUUGGGGCUCUGAGGAGGGGGCAGGAACUAGGAAGGAAAGGCUGAAGAUCCCUUCCAGAAGGGUCUCUAGCCCCUGACUCCUCUCAGAGCACAUUUCUGUCCUCAAGUUCAGCCAGAAGAAAAAAAAAAAACUUAGGGCCAAGUUACUGUAGGUCUCUGCCAGUGAGAAACCCCAACAAGAUCCCUAGGCACCCCAAGGGCUGUGACACCAGAGGGCAGCCAUUGCUGGGGAAGGGACAGGGGCCCAGCCUCAGCCAUGCCGCAGAGGGACCUCCCACGCCUCAAGCCCAGUGGUCAAGGCCUCUCUCCCAUUUAAAGCCCAGGAGAUGCUCCCAGCUUAUCCCCUACCCUCUCGAGACCAGCUCUCUCCCCAGCUCCAACCACGGGCAAUCUCACCCCAAGACACAAGGGCCAGCUCAAAUGCAACCUCUUCCAGGAAGCCUUCCUGGACUUCCUCUGUCAGUCCUCUGCUUCCCUGGCCCCAUCGACCACUGUCUUAGCCUUUUAGCCCCACCAAUUUCUAGCCUCUGUCUUCCCCACCAGACCAGACAUGUCUCUGAGAGCGGGGACUGCUUUCCUUACCACUGCCCCUUCGCAAGGUGCCCAGCCCAGGGCCUGGCCCACAGCGGGCACUUACUUAAUGUGUGUUAGAUGAAAUCAUCUCCUGGGACAAGGAAAAUUCUAAUGACAGUAAUAAUCAUAGCCCCUUUUCACUGGCCAUUAACUACGGGUCAGUGGUGAACUUCAUUUAUUUAUUUAUUUUGGCUUUGGGGGGCCCAAGGCAUACGGAGGUUCCCAGGCUAGGGGUUGAAUUGGAACUGUAGCUGCUGGCCAACACCACAGCCACAGCAACACAGGAUCCAAGCCUCGUCUGCGACCUACACCACAGCUCACGGCAACACCAGAUCUUUAACCCACUGAGCAAGGCCAGGGAUCGAACCUGCCUCUUCAUGGAUACUAGUUGGAUUUGCUACCACUGAGCCACAGUGGGAACUCCUAAGUAAGGAACUUUAUAGCUUAUCACAAAUGAGGCCCAGGUGAGGAAAGGGCUUGUCCAAGGUCACUCUGCUAGAGGGAGGCAAAGCCAGGAUAUGAACUUGGGUUUGUUUGACUUGGAAAUGCAUGCUGGGUCAUAGAAGUGAGAACAUGGAGGUAGCCCGCUGCCAGUCUCCCAAAGCUGGGAAACUAGUCUGAAGCACAAACCAACACUGGAGUUCCCUUGCGGCCCAGCAGGUUAAGGAUCCAGCAUUGUCACUGCUGCAGCUCAGGUCACUGCUGUGGCUUGAGUUCAUUCUCUGGCCCAGGGAAAUUCCACAUGCCGAGGGCAUGGCUAAAAAAAAGAACAAAAAAAAAA
This 1625-nucleotide long non-coding RNA is filed under the name Sus scrofa (pig). RNAcentral's name for it is "lncRNA (ENSSSCG00055030151.1)". The record is from RNAcentral. Lineage: Eukaryota; Metazoa; Chordata; Mammalia; Artiodactyla; Suidae.